GGGAUAAUAGUUAACUAUAACAUUUAAUUUGCAAUUAGAAAGUAUUGAGGCAUCAAUUUAUCUUA
RNAcentral lists this transfer RNA (65 nucleotides) under Cryptocephalus sp. CRY01. RNAcentral describes it as "tRNA-Ala". Lineage: Eukaryota; Metazoa; Arthropoda; Insecta; Coleoptera; Chrysomelidae. The record is from RNAcentral.